This 474-nucleotide ribosomal RNA is filed under the name Triticum aestivum (bread wheat). RNAcentral describes it as "partial small subunit ribosomal RNA". The record is from RNAcentral. Lineage: Eukaryota; Viridiplantae; Streptophyta; Magnoliopsida; Poales; Poaceae.
AUGGUCCCUGGGUUCCCUUUAUUGGAACUAUGUUCCUUUUUUAUUUUUGUUUCCAAUUGGUCGGGGUGCUCUUUUACCUUGGAAAAUUAUAGAGUUACCCCAUGGGAAUUAGCAGCGCCCACGAAUGAUAUAAAUACUACAGUUGUUUUAGCUUUACUCACGUCAGCGGCAUAUUUUUAUGCUGGUCUUAGCAAAAAAGGAUUAAGCUAUUUCGAGAAAUACAUUAAACCAACUCCAAUCCUUUUACCAAUUAACAUCCUAGAAGAUUUCACAAAACCAUUAUCGCUUAGCUUUCGACUUUUCGGGAAUAUAUUGGUGGAUGAAUUAGUCGCUGUUGUUCUUGUUUCUUUAGUCCCCUUAGUAAUCCCUAUACCGGCCAUGUUUCUUGGAUUAUUUACAAGCGGUAUUCAAGCUCUUAUUUUUGCAACAUUAGCCGCAACCUAUAUAGGUGAAUCCAUGGAGGGUCAUCAUUGA